CACCAGCGCCUCGAGUGGGGAUCGCGAUUAUUGGGUCUAAAGCGUCCGUAGCAGGCUUUGUAAAUGCUUUGUGAAAUCGGCAGGCUUAACCUGUCGGCGUGCAGAGUAGACUGCAGAACUUGAGACCGGGAGAGGUUAGCAGUAUUCCUUGGGUACCGGUAAAAUGGGUUAAUCCAAGGAGGACUACCAAUGGCGAAGGCAGCUAACCAGAACGGUUCUGACUGUGAGGGACGAAAGCUAGGGGAGCAAA
RNAcentral lists this ribosomal RNA (250 nucleotides) under uncultured archaeon. RNAcentral's name for it is "partial 16S ribosomal RNA". It matches the Rfam family "Archaeal small subunit ribosomal RNA", at positions 474 to 723 of the family's 1478-position model. The record is from RNAcentral.